Molecule: ribosomal RNA, 328 nt
Filed under: Shigella sonnei
Lineage: Bacteria; Pseudomonadati; Pseudomonadota; Gammaproteobacteria; Enterobacterales; Enterobacteriaceae
Description: bacterial SSU rRNA
Rfam family: Bacterial small subunit ribosomal RNA
Source: RNAcentral
UUAAAUUGAAGAGUUUGAUCAUGGCUCAGAUUGAACGCUGGCGGCAGGCCUAACACAUGCAAGUCGAACGGUAACAGGAAACAGCUUGCUGUUUCGCUGACGAGUGGCGGACGGGUGAGUAAUGUCUGGGAAACUGCCUGAUGGAGGGGGAUAACUACUGGAAACGGUAGCUAAUACCGCAUAAUGUCGCAAGACUAAAGAGGGGGACCUUCGGGCCUCUUGCCAUCGGAUGUGCCCAGAUGGGAUUAGCUAGUAGGUGGGGUAACGGCUCACCUAGGCGAAGAUACCCAGAUGGUCUGAAUGGACUGUCAGACAACCUGGCAGUGAG